AUUGCGCACAAGCAUCAUCUAUAUAUUAACCUAUAUGAAUCUCCAAUGUUUGUUGCUACGUGGUAAGUUCUUCUUCACCCUCACUAGCAUAUGACUCUUCUUCUUUCUUUGACUAAACUUUCAAUAUACAUUUUAACGGUUCCGCUAACCAAACUUUUAAUUAAUGUGUUUAAAUGGUCCCAUUAUAUUUUCAAUUAACACAAACGAUUCUACUAUCAAAUUUUUAAUUAGUAUAUUUAAAUGGUCCCACUACCAUCUACAAUCCUAACCUCUCUAUCUCCAAUUAUUCAUUAUGGUCCUUUUCCUUCUCUCCACCGGACUUUUAAUUUUUUAUCUCCAAUCUAUUUAUCAAUUCUCUAUUUUUCAUCUUUUGCUAUACACCAUCGCUUCCUUCCCUCGCUUCCUCCCUCUUUCUCACUAAUGCACGCCCACUUUCUCUUUCCGCUGUAACCUUUAGUGGAUAUACCAAGUGGGAUACACAAAAUAAUGUUUAAUUACUAUUAUGGUUUCUACAUGCUGUAAAUUACUAAUAGUAUAAGAUGUACAUAUUCUUUUGUCUACUGAUAUUAAAAAAAUGACACGAGCAAUACUACUUAUACACUCAAAAAUAAUAUGUACAUCUUAUACUUAUUUUUAUCUAAAAAAUUAUUAUUAUUUUUUUACGUGCUAACUCGGAUAACAAUAAUUGCACUACAUUAAAAAAGAGUUAAUUGCAUAUAGAUCCUUGCAAAUAUAGUAAAUUACAAAUAUAUUCCUACAAAGUUUAAUUUUUAUAUUUGUUCCUGCAAAAGUCCUAAUAUUUUAAAAUAUAUCCCUAUCUUUAGAAUCGGUUAAAAAAAUUUAGCUAAUAAUAGAUUAAAUACUUAACUCUGAUUAGUUUAUGAGAUAACUCGAUAUUUUUACCCCCAUUAUAUUAUACUGUUGUAGUUUUUAAAGAAAUAUAUUUGUGAUGGUAAAAUUAACAUUUUAUUUAUUUGCUGUUAAAAUAUAAACAGUUUUCUAAAAAUAACAAAUCAGAAAAAUAUAUUUAAAAAUAUUAAAACUUUUAAAAAAUAACAUAUACAAAUUAAAUUUUAUAAAAACAUAUUUGUAAUUUAUUA
Molecule: long non-coding RNA, 1100 nt
Filed under: Ananas comosus (pineapple)
Lineage: Eukaryota; Viridiplantae; Streptophyta; Magnoliopsida; Poales; Bromeliaceae
Description: long non-coding RNA (ACOM_LNC036097)
Source: RNAcentral